Molecule: long non-coding RNA, 5380 nt
Organism: Salvelinus fontinalis (brook trout)
Lineage: Eukaryota; Metazoa; Chordata; Actinopteri; Salmoniformes; Salmonidae
Exons: 4
Source: RefSeq, a predicted model, not a curated record
ACGUAAAGGCAUCCAGGGGAAGACGUAAGAAGUGUCCGUAUAGUCAUAGCAACGACAGUGCCCUUUUAAAUGACUUCAGAAGAGUGGCCAACAUUUCUCAAAUCUGACUCCAUGUCAGGGAAAUUGCUGUAGAAUGGGCUCUGUUCCACUUAGAGACAAAAUUUCAACUCCUAUAGAAACUAUAGACUGUUUUCUAUCCAAUAAUAAUAAUAAUAUGCAUAUUGUACGAUCAAGGAUUUUGUGGGAAGCCGUUUCAAAAAUUACCCAAUUAGCAUAAAUAGUCUAAACAGCGCCCCCAUCCCCAACAGGUUUUAACAGUAGUUAUAUAUAUGGUUUUGCAGAUAUUUUAAAAGUGGAUGACAUCCAAUUUUCAGGUAAUUCAUAUUAUUACUAAAUGUUGUUUUUAUGUCAAUUGUAUGUAUUUUUUUAAGUAAACAUGUAUAUAUUUUGUAUAAAUGUAUUUCUAUAUUAAUUAAACGUCUAUAGGAUACCCUACAUUUACCCAGCUGUUACCUGCAAUAAUUGAUUUGGGUCAUCAACCAUCAGAAGUUAUAGUUAUAGAAGACGAUGAUUUUGAGGAACAACCGACCAACAGUGUAUCUUUACUCGGUCCUACGCCCUGAAGAUGAUUUAGCUGACAGACCCCAGACAAGAAUACCAGAGGCAUUAUGGGCUCUACCAUUGAAUGACUUUGAGGGUAAUGAAAACGACAAUAUUCUACUGUUCUGUACGGCCGGCUUUGCCAAACUCAAAACAGCCCAAGAAUCAAAGAUUUAGCACACAUAUACACACCUCCAAGAAGCUCCAGCCCUUCAGUAUAUAAUCCUGCGCCUACACCAUAUCCUAGUCCUGCACGGUUCCACAGAACAGCAGUUCAAAUACACAGAACUGCAUCACCUCUGCCCGGGAAGGCCGACUGGUCUGAAUCGAUUGGAUUCAAGAGCAUGCUCUCUAUGGAUAUGACUCCAACGAUACCUAUACGAAUCUUGCAGAGUCUAUACAUCAAGAGGACAUCAAACGCAUCAUCAAGAAUUCUUCAGAAAAACAGGCAUCAAACAACCAAAGGCCUAUACAAACAUAGAAGACCCAAUACACCAAGAGGAAGAGGAGGAAGAGGAUGCUGAUGACAUACAGAGUAAAACAUCUAAACCGGUUGAUACAUUCAAUUCUGUUAAUGUCAAGGAUGAUUGAUGUUGCUGAUGAAGGGUUGAGCUAUGAUGAGGAUGGCGUGUUGAUGUAUGAUGCGGCUAAACAGCUUGAUACAAUCAAUUCUGAGGUGGCGCCAAUACUCAUUGAAGAUAGCAUCAAUGAGGACACUGAUCCUGAAAUAGAACUUCAAGAUAGGUUUCUCACAGCCUUUUACAGGGCUCUAAAAGCCAGAGAGGUCCAGCUACACACACGUAUGGUUGCUUUACUAAGACGUCAGUACAGCCAAGAUCUAUCCUUCUGGCAUAAAACCAUGCCACGCUUGUUAAGCAUCGAUCUGAUUAAAAACCGCCCAAACAAACUAUAAAAGCCAUAUGUAACAUGGAUACUUCUAGAAUACCACCAGAACUGAUCUCCGUAAUUAACCAAAUUAACGAGAGAGGUCCAACCCCCCCACAUCAGCCCUCAUCUCCUAUAAUCAUUACACAUGAACACCCAUUAUCACAGGUGAACUUAUAUCCUUAAUUAACCAAGUGGAUGAGAGCACACCGUCUUCAGCCCCCAACACACACACACCUCCGAUAACUCCUAUACAUGAUGAUGAUGAGCAACCACAGGAUGAUUUUGAGGAAUUUGAAAAUGGUGUAAUAAAUCAGAGGGGGGACGGUAUUGAUAGAAGUGUCCGUGUUGUGUACCUCAAUAAAUGUAACAAUACAGCGAUUCGUCAGUUUUUUAAAUUCACAUGUAUCAAUCAGAGCCAUGAUUAUGCAGUUUUUCAUGUGAUGAUUUUGGAUACUCUAGGAGAACUUUUAGAUAUGGCUACAGAUUUUGCCGAACCUCGUGAUGUCUAACAGCUUGAAAUAUGUGGCGAUAGUAUGCAAAACACAGUAUCUCUUGUUUUACCCAACGGCGAAGCAGAUCUUGAACAAUUUAUAGCCCUGCUGUCUUGUUCAAUCUAAUUUAUCCAUCAUAGCUGAUAGGACCUUAGAACUUGUUGUACAAAUAGUCUGCCAACCCCCUAGGCGGAGGGGGUCAAAGAAGGAAAAUUGAUAGUCUCAUGCAAUCCGAAAUCAUUUUUAAAAAGCAGGCCGAUCUCAUAAACGUUAACAAUCCUGGUAAUCAGUUAUGCUUUGCAAUAGGCCUAUCACAUUUACUCAACCUUGCAUGUACUGAUCUAGAAGCUUUACAAAAGGCUAGUGAGCUCCAAAAGGCUGUAGGUCUAGGUAUACAGGAGGAUGUGGCUUUCUCUGACAUAGUAAAAUUAGAACAUUUGCUGAACAUCGAGAUUGUGGUUUUGUACCAUAUUAGAGCUAAUUCAGCUCUCAUGAAAUUCCAGAACAACCCUCAAUCUCAUCCUCAUAUUCUGUACUUUUAUGUGAAAAACAACUAUUUUUAUGGUAUUACCAACAUCAGAGCUUUCUUAGGAGCACAAUAUGUGUCCAUCAUGUCAUUCAGGCUACAGCCAACAGGGGGGCACUCUUGUCGUUAUAACUGUUCAGUGUGUCAAGAUGAAAAAUGUCCGAUGCAGCCCUUACACCCAACACCCUGUGAGGAUUGUCAUCAUACAUGUCGUUCUGCCUACUGUUACGAAAAACACAACAUUGAAACAUGGCAAGGCAUGUAAAUCUGUAAACAGUUGUGACAUUAACAAGAAAUGUCCAAAAUGCCAUUGCAAUUACAUCCUUUAAAUAGACAGCCCUAAACUCAUGUAUGUGGUAUCAUACGCUGCCCAAUCUGUAAAGGGCUUCGAAAAGCAGAGACACUGAAGUGAUUCAAGAAGUGGAACAUGAGUUCUAUUUUCAGCCUUCGGCUGAAGAUGAACAUUAAGAGAAAUAUGUUUUAUAACUUUGAGAGUAAUCAGGAAUCAGGGAUUAAUUUGCCUAUUUUUGUAUCUACCAUGACUUUCAAGGGUGAAAAGUGGUCGGGGCAGAGGGACCCAAUUGUGCACUACUCUUUCACUACUCUUUCUAUGAUUCCUAUCUUCUUUUGAACCCCCUGAUACAACAAGGCGUUGCACCCAGGGUCAUAGUCCAAGGUAGUAAAAUAUGGUGUUUUGUAGACCCCGCCUUCAACCAGAGAUACAUUGACAGUUUAAGUUUCUUACUCCAUGACCCCUGGAGUAGUACAACUAUUGCAUCGGCAUGCAUGAAAACCUAUUGCACACACUUUUUACCUCCAGUAUCUGUAGCUAUUCCAUCGCCUGACAACUACCGCCGACAAUUCAAGUCAUACUCGAGCGGCUCCAAUUCAAUGGUUGGAGUACUUAUCCCAGGCUAAAAACAUUUUUAUUCAACAUAAAAAAAAGGGUCAAAAAGAUUGGACCCUACCAUGUAGAUGGUUACACACAUUUUGACGCUGUUGAGACAGUGUAUGAGUACAACGGUUGUUUCUUCCACGGUUGUAAAUCUUGCUUUGUGCCCCAGGCCAUGUGUGUCUUAACCCAAAAUAAUUUUGGGGAUAUGUACCAGGAGUUCCAAGACAAAUUGGAAUCUUUACAGGCUGCUGAUGGGGUGAGCGUUAUGGUUAUCUGGGAACCUGAGUGGACAGAACUCAAAAAGUCUGAUCCUCAUGUUUGAGCUUUCCUUUCCACCUUUGACAUACCCGAACCCCUGGAACCCCACCAGGCCUUGUAUGGAGGUCAUACCAAUGCUUUGACAUUACGGUAUAUAGCGCAACCUGAUGAGAAAAUUGGAUAUGUAGAUUUUACAUCCCUUUAUCCUCAUGUAGUGAGUUCCUCUUGUUAUCCCAUGGGUCAUCCUGAAAUUAUUCACCAUGACUUUGACUUCCCACAAAACUAUUUUGGUCUGAUAAAAGCAACUGUUUACCCUCCCCAGGGCUUGUUUCUGCCACUGUUGCCUUACAAGGGACCUCAAGGAAAACGUUUCUUUCCCCUUUGUCGCACCUGCAGUGAAAACAACAACCAGGAAAAACCUUGUGAUCAUUCAGACCCAUACACCCAUAAACUGGUCCGAGCCCUGACCGGUGUAUGCGCCACUGUUGAAUUCUCUAAGGCUAUAGAGAAGGGGUACCGUGUGGCCAAAAUCUUUGAAGUGUGGAACUUUUCCAGGAAAUCAGACACUCUUUUUAAAGAGUACAUCAAGACCUUCUUGAGAUGCAAGCAAAUGGCUUCAGGGUAUCCUGCCCCAGUCACAGAUCAAGAGAGCAAAGACAGUUCAUUUCAGGACCAUCAUGAAAAAGAAGGCAUACGUCUUGACCCUGACAGAAUAGAGGUCAACAAAACCAAAAGAAAUCUGUUGAAAAUGUAUUUAAAUUCGCUUUGGGGAAAUUAUCCCAGAGAAGUAAUAUGUUAACAAUGUCGAUUAUUAAAGAUCCCGAAGAAUUUAUGGAAUUCGUUUUUUCAGACCAAUAUGAAAUUUCACAUUUUUCAUUCUUGAGUCAAAACAUUGCUCUGGUGCAAUGGAGACGUAACAAGAAGUGGGUUCUACCCCCGGGUAAUGUAAACGUGUUUCUUGCAGCAUUUACCAAGGCCUAUGGUCGACUUGAACUAUACACCCUCGUGGAGCAGCUGCAGAGGAGGGUUCUUUACCAUGACACAGACACUGUGGUCUAUGUAAGAAAACCUGGUGAUUGGAACCCCCCUCUUAGCAACUAUCUGGGUGGUUUAACGAGUGAACUCGAAGAUGGUGACCAUAUCAUAGAGUGGUUAUCCUGUGGCCCCCAAAUCUAUGCUUUUAGUACUAAAGACAAUCAUGUGGUGUUGAAAGCCAAAGGUGGGACUCAAAAUUGUGAAAAUGCCUCCCGUGUAAACUUGGAAUCAAUCAGACACUUAGUCGAGGGGUUCAUAAAUGACCAGAAUAGUGAAUUAGAAAUGUUUAACUCCUACAAAAAGAUUGUUAGGGAUAAAAAGGGGUUCCAUCUAUGUAAUGCCCCACUUACUAAAAUAUUCCUGGUAGUCUAUGACAAGAGAUUGCUUGUACCUGACGGGACCACCUUGCACUUUGGUUACUGACUUAUGUUACAAGUCCUGUGUGUCUUAACCCUUAAGAUAUAAUGGCUGCUGUAGAAGGUUUUGAUCCCAGGUUGCAACUACCAUUUCCGGCCUUAAUCGCAGGCCCAUCCAAUAGCGGUAAAACUUGUUUUGUAAAAAGUAUUUUAGAGAAUUCUGAACAUGUAUUAUCUCAGAAACCUGACAAUAUUGUGUGGUGUUAUUCAUGUUAUCAACCUUUGUUUGAUGAGUUGUUGAAGAAAAUAAAAAUCAAGUUUGUUGAAGGAA